GAUGAACGCUGGCGGCGUGCCUAAUACAUGCAAGUCGAGCGAACAGACGAGGAGCUUGCUCCUCUGACGUUAGCGGCGGACGGGUGAGUAACACGUGGAUAACCUACCUAUAAGACUGGGAUAACUUCGGGAAACCGGAGCUAAUACCGGAUAAUAUAUUGAACCGCAUGGUUCAAUAGUGAAAGACGGUUUUGCUGUCACUUAUAGAUGGAUCCGCGCCGCAUUAGCUAGUUGGUAAGGUAACGGCUUACCAAGGCAACGAUGCGUAGCCGAACUGAGAGGGUGAUCGGCGACACUGGAACUGAGACACGGACCAGACUCCUACGGGAGGCAGCAGUAGGGAAUCUUCCGCAAUGGGCGAAAGCCUGACGGAGCAACGCCGCGUGAGUGAUGAAGGUCUUCGGAUCGUAAAACUCUGUUAUUAGGGAAGAACAAAUGUGUAAGUAACUAUGCACGUCUUGACGGUACCUAAUCAGAAAGCCACGGCUAACUACGUG
Molecule: ribosomal RNA, 497 nt
Filed under: uncultured bacterium
Lineage: Bacteria
Description: partial 16S ribosomal RNA
Rfam family: Bacterial small subunit ribosomal RNA
Source: RNAcentral